Molecule: long non-coding RNA, 544 nt
Organism: Podarcis raffonei (Aeolian wall lizard)
Lineage: Eukaryota; Metazoa; Chordata; Lepidosauria; Squamata; Lacertidae
Exons: 2
Source: RefSeq, a predicted model, not a curated record
GGAGCGGUGGAGGAAAAGAGAAAUCUCCUUCUCGUUCUCCCUGCCAGGCUCCCGCUAAUGACUGCGUGUUGAUCCUGCGCGGCGGUGCCCUCGUUUGCCUUUGUUUAGAAGGGCCCAGCUAGACGUUACACUGCAGACGCCAGGACUCCCCCCCCCCCCGAAGAGGGAAGGCGAUUGUUGAAGGAUGGAGUUUUAGCUAAGGAGCAACUCCAUGGAGGGGAAAGGCUACGUGACCCUUUCCUCCUGGUCAUUCCUUCCCUCCCACUCUGCGUUGGCACCCGCAGGUGAAACAAGUGCUGGCGGAGGAGGGGUCGUGCGCCUGGAGCAGAAAACGACCGGAGGGGAAAGGGCUAAGUGUUCCCCGAUGCCAUGCUUCCUUGGAAGGAAGGGAAGAAGGAAAUGUCAGGAGACCUUAACACGCGUCUGCUUGUAGCUUUUCAUCUAGUCCUUCACAAGUGACGCGAAGAGCAUCCAAGAUGCUAAGCCCUAGAAGAGACGGAGUUUAGAGCAAGGAGGAAAUAAAUACUUCUUUCUUUUGCAGGAA